This 1089-nucleotide long non-coding RNA is filed under the name Heterocephalus glaber (naked mole-rat). RNAcentral describes it as "lncRNA (ENSHGLG00000042907.1)". The record is from RNAcentral. Lineage: Eukaryota; Metazoa; Chordata; Mammalia; Rodentia; Bathyergidae.
GACAAAUUGACUUUCCUUAACCAAUUGUGAAUGGAUUUAAGGGGGGGGGGGUAUUGUAAUUCAACAGCUGUAGAGAGAAAAAACUUACUGUGCUUGGAUUUAAAGACAAAUUUUCUUUGACUGUCCAUGGUUUACCAACUGGUAUUGGAAGAAAAAAAGUAAAACAACUGUUUUCACUCUUUUUGUAUAGUAUGCAUUUAUGUAUUGUUUUGUCUUAUCAGCAAAGUGCAAUUGUCUUAUUGAGAGGAAUAUUCUAUCUAUGAGUUUGGUAUGGUGCACAAAAAAAUCAUACUAGGAAUUUUUCAUUCCCACAUCUACCUAAGAAGGCAGCAGCAAACCCACAGUUUACCAUUUGGACUCCAACCAGAAAUUCAGUCUCCCAUCACAUCUUAAAUUUAACCAUAUAUGCCAGAUUACUUGUUAUGCAUUGACAUGAUGAUUCUGAAGUUUAAUCUAGCUAAACACUGGUCCCACUCCAGAAAUGAGACAUUAUGUGUUUAAAAAGUAAAAUAGGCGCACAAGGAUGAAUGGCACUGUAUCACACAGUGCAGGCUUCUCCAACUUUAGUCUGUAUUCUAGGAGUGUCCUGGGAAUCCUGUUAAAAUGCAUGCUCUGAUUCAGGCUGUCUUGGGUGGGCCUGACACCUGCAUUUCUCAUGAGCCUCAGGGAUGCCCAUGCUGCUAGACACAAGGACACACUGAGAAACAAAGACCUAGAGGACACUUAAAACAGAAUAAAAACAAAUAUGACUAUAUUUCUGACUCCCCUCUCUUUCAAUUACCUGACUUUAAUUUUAUGCAUGUACUAAUCACAUCACUGCUGCAUAACAACAUGGUGCCUCUUUAAAACAAAGGAAAGGGAGAAACAAAAGAAAAAAGAUGCAUCAAGCUUAUUUGUCAGAUAUCAUAGUAUUUCAUUCUUUGUUAUCUUGCCAAUAGAAAUAAAAUAGGAUAUUGCAUUUAAAUAUCAUAUUUAUACCUCAUGUAUAUUUUUACCUCAAUUGUUGGUAUCAAUCAUCAAUUGUAAAUAAGUAAUUGCCAAAGUAAAUAAAUUUAUAUAUAUUAAAUAUUUCCUAUUUUCAAUAAAAUA